CUUAGAGCAUAAUGCACAUUUCUGUUUUUUAAAGAAUCCUCAGAUUUAAGAAAAAACAAAAAAAAUCUACCUUUAAGUCAGUUAAUCAUCACUAACACCACAUAGAGAGAAAUUAGGGAAAUAAUACAUCUGAUAAGCCAUGCAUAAGCAAUAAUUGACUAAUUUUAAAGUAUCCAAUAGUUUACCUAGAGAUUCUCUUUGUUCUCUCUUCCUCACACUCCUAGUCUCUUUUCUGAGCAUGCUCUGUUUUGAUGAGUACUCCCAUGCUCUCCCAUAUUCCCCAGGAUUGAACACAAAGGAGUCAGUUAUUGCCUGUUAUCCUCAAUGGAAUCCUCCUAAUUGCAGUUUAAAACUGACUACUAACGAAAGGCGAAAAUGAAUGCAGAACACGAGAGACAGACCAAAAAAAAACCUGGCAGGAUUCAUCUAAAAAUAUACAGAAAAUAUGAAAACUAAGGGCAGUCUAAUGGAUUAUAUGAAUAAAAUAUUACAUAGCACAAUCUGGAGCAAGUGCUUCAUGACAAAAUGAGUAAUAGUUGAUGGAAUUUAGAUCUCUGUAGAGAAGGAAUUGCAAUUUUUACUAGGCCUAUUUUUCUCCUUUCCCACUCUUGUUAGCUCAUUUAUAAAGUGAUGAAAAGAAAUCAUUGCAAGUGCUGCUAAAUGAUUGAAGAUGACUUCAGGGACACGUUGAGCUUGCUCUCUGCUGCAGAAUAAUAGACAAAUGCCAGAAGGAUCCCUGAGAGAGCAGUCAUGGAAGAGAGCCCGAAAUGGAAAGAAGCAGUGCUGUGUAGCUGUUUCUUCCAGUUUGAAACAUUCCUUUGGAGAAGGAAGAGGGAGGCUUAUAAGACUCAAGAAGAAACGUGAGGCCUUUACAGUAUCAGACGUUUAAGAAAGUUAUGACCCACCGGGCUUCUUCUCAAGAUUGUAGCCUUCAUCCAGUGACUGAUGGAAGCAGAGGAAGAU
This 963-nucleotide long non-coding RNA is filed under the name Cricetulus griseus (Chinese hamster). RNAcentral describes it as "lncRNA (ENSCGRG00015041699.1)". The record is from RNAcentral. Lineage: Eukaryota; Metazoa; Chordata; Mammalia; Rodentia; Cricetidae.